CAGCAGCCGCGAGAAUACAGAGGCCUCAAGCGUUGUUCGGAUUCAUUGGGCGUAAAGGGUGCGUAGGUGGCUUGGUAAGUUGAAGGUGAAAUCUCGGGGCUUAACCCCGAAACUGCCUUCAAUACUGCUAGGCUCGAGGACUGUAGAGGAGAAUGGAAUUCACGGUGUAGCAGUGAAAUGCGUAGAUAUCGUGAGGAAGACCAGUGGCGAAGGCGAUUCUCUGGGCAGUUCCUGACACUGAGGCACGAAGGCCAGGGGAGCAAACGGGAUUAGAUACCCCCGUAGUCCCUGUCUCUUAUAC
Molecule: ribosomal RNA, 301 nt
Filed under: uncultured bacterium
Lineage: Bacteria
Description: partial 16S ribosomal RNA
Rfam family: Bacterial small subunit ribosomal RNA
Source: RNAcentral